GGCUCGCGUGACAUUAGCUGGAUGGUAAGGUAACGGCUUACCAUGGCUAUGAUGUCUAGGGGUUCUGAGAGGAAGGUCCCCCACACUGGAACUGAGACACGGUCCAGACUCCUACGGGAGGCAGCAGUGAGGAAUAUUGGACAAUGGAUGGAAAUCUGAUCCAGCCAUGCCGCGUGAAGGAAGAAGGUCCUAUGGAUUGUAAACUUCUUUUGUAUGGGAGCAAUAAGGCCUACGAGUAGGUUGAUGAGAGUACCAUACGAAUAAGCACCGGCUAACUCCGUGCCAGCAGCCGCGGUAAUACGGAGGGUGCAAGCGUUAUCCGGAUUUAUUGGGUUUAAAGGGUGCGUAGGCGGUUAUUUAAGUCAGUGGUGAAAGUUUUCGGCUCAACCGGAAAAUUGCCAUUGAUACUGGGUAGCUAGAAUAUGGUUGCUGUGAGUAGAAUGUGUGGUGUAGCGGUGAAAUGCAUAGAUAUCACACAGAAUACCGAUUGCGAAGGCAUCUCACAAAGCCAUCAUUGACGCUGAGGCACGAAAGUGUGGGGAUCAAACAGGAUUAGAUACCCUGGUAGUCCACACUGUAAACGAUGAUAACUAGCUGUUGGCGAUACACAGUCAGUGGCCAAGCGAAAGCGAUAA
RNAcentral lists this ribosomal RNA (635 nucleotides) under uncultured bacterium. RNAcentral's name for it is "bacterial SSU rRNA". It matches the Rfam family "Bacterial small subunit ribosomal RNA", at positions 228 to 863 of the family's 1533-position model. The record is from RNAcentral.